AUUGAACGCUGGCGGCAGGCUUAACACAUGCAAGUCGAACGAGUGGCGGACGGGUGAGUAAUGCUUGGGAAUCUAGCUUAUGGAGGGGGAUAACUACGGGAAACUGUAGCUAAUACCGCGUACCAUAGGAUGAGCCCAAGUGGGAUUAGGUAGUUGGUGAGGUAAAGGCUCACCAAGCCGACGAUCCGUAACUGGUCUGAGAGGAUGAUCAGUCACCCUGGGACUGAGACACGGUCCAGACUUCUACGGGAGGCAGCAGUUGGGAAUCAUCCGCAAUUGACGAAAGUUGACGGAGCAACGCCGCGUUAGAGAUGGCGGGCUUUGGGUUGUAAAGCUCGUUAAGCGGGACGACGGUACCGGCAUAGAAAGCCACGGCUAACUACGUGCCAGCAGCCGCGGUAAUUC
RNAcentral lists this ribosomal RNA (405 nucleotides) under uncultured bacterium. RNAcentral describes it as "partial 16S ribosomal RNA". It matches the Rfam family "Bacterial small subunit ribosomal RNA", at positions 30 to 526 of the family's 1533-position model. The record is from RNAcentral.